GUUUUAUACAGAAUUGCUUUAUAGUUUAUGCAGCAUUUAAUGCAAUUACAUCAGAUUUUACUUUAAAUUACGGAAUUAAAUUACAGUUUUUAGAUUACAUAGAAAUUAAUUACACACAACACUGUAUAACAGUAAUUCAAAUGUAAACUUACGCAUUGACUCGAGCAGCUAUUUUCUCCCAAGCUAACUCUCUGUCCUUCGCCGCUGCAGCCGUGUUGCUUUUUUUUUAAAAUAUAUGUUCGUACUCUCCAUAUGCUUGCAUAAGCACAUCCAGUUCUGCUGGUGAAAAAUAUGAAGACCUCUUUUUGUCUGGCGCUGUUGCCAUGGUGACUCGUAAUAUCUGCGCUCCAUUGAUAAUGGCUUUUUAUAGUUGUGGUGCACGCGAGUUAAAAAUGUAAUGGAAGUCGUUUUGGAUAAAAAGCGUCAGCUAAAUAACCUGUAAUGUAAUAACAAAUCUUAUUCUAUAAUAAAAUACUGUUUGUAAAAAUUAGUUCAAACUUUGAAAGUUCAUAAAUCUCCCUGUUGCUAGUACUUUUUAGGUCAGUGUGUUAUGAGUGAAAAAUCUUUCUGAAUGAAAAUCUGUUGCCAGUGAUUGGUGGAACGAGCCCGUCAUGUAGGUGGCAUCCGGCUCCACAUCAGUCACCAGCAGCUGGUAGCUGUAGUUCAGCAGAAGGAGCUUUGCAAGCUAAUAAAAUGCAUUUACUGAAGUAAUUAGAGAAGAGGUAAACUUGUUUUCUGGUCAAAACCUAAAUUUCAGCUUGAUUUUGAUCAAAUACAAAUAAUAAAAUGAUCCAUGCAAAUAUCUGACUAUGUAUAAAGACACAAUACGUCAAUGCAGGGUUCAAGAAUGAAAACAUUUUUUUUUUUUUUGUCAUUUCACAAAAAGUGGAAAGCAAUGAUGCGCCGUGUGCCACGAUUCUUGAAGAGUAAAUGUUCCCCCCUACAGACACAAUUUUAAACUAUAGUUUUUCAUUUGCACUUAUAUAGCUAUAUAAGUGCAAAUGAAAUGAUGGACCUUUUUCAAGGAAAAAAACACAGCACAAACACUCGUGUGUUUCUGUUUGGUCCUCGGUCCCUUUGCUCAGCCGCAGAGUGUGUCUCAGAGACCUAAGGGCUGGCAACACAUUGGCUGUCCCUGUCACUUUGAAGCACUGGUCAUCAUUGUUGUUGCCACAUUGGAUCAAUCACACAACAGAGCCCAAAUUCUGCAUAGCUCAGACAGUUUACCAAUGGUGCUAUUGUGUCUUGCCUUGCAUACCGUAGCGGCCCAGGGCAUGGAGGCAAGAUUCAGUAAUCAAGGCACAAAAGGAAUCCUCUAAGUGGGUGAAGGGGGAUGGUGUCAAACUAUAAAAAAAAAAAAAAAACUUUUGGCAUCAAUGUCUACCCCCUGUGUGGGGAGAGCCGAAGAGAGAGGUGAGCCCGCUGGAAUACUUCCCAUCCGACACAGCUCCUCUCGAGAGGUUCUGCUUCCCAGUUCAGUGAACAAACGCUCACUUUAAUUAGCUGCAGGUGUCACCAGUGCCAGGUGCCGAGUGGUUACAGCACCUGCACAGGAGAGAAGACUCUCUCCAUCCCCUCCCCCAACCUGUGCCUGGGGAUCCGCCCCCUGUGCUGUGUAGUCACCUUUGUCCCCUGGUUUGCCAGUCCCUUGAUUACACUAUAUGUAUAUAUUGUGUAAUCAAGGGACUACGUUCCCCAGCAAGAUAAAAAUCGGUAUACAGUCAAAAUGUUUUUACAUCUUGAACACCUCAGUCGGGAUUCAUUUGGGGAUAUUUUUCCAAGACAGAUGUCCUUCCCCCACGGGCCAAGUAGAACAGCUUUGCAUUUUCUUUUAAAAUAAUAGAAAGAAAGGAAGGAAAAGGAAGCUGUGGGAUUAAAGUUGGACACAGAGCUUAACCAAUUUAAAAGGAGCAUGAUGUUUUCUUAUAAACAACUAAAAAUAAUUUACAAGACUUUUGAAGCUCAUUGAAUUUUAAACAGGGAUGAUGGAAUUAUGACUUAAAUCUAGUCACAAUAUCUUUGUAAGCUACUUUUACGAAGAUAACAUGAAGAGGUGACCUGAAUUAUUCAUGAGGUUUUUAUUUCUUUUUAUGUUUUAGUUUUUUCACACUACAAUGUGGCCAAAGUACAUCAGUCUCGGGUAGAGCAUGGAUCGGGCCGACUUUUUCUGUCCGUGCCCGGCCCGCGUCCCACAGAGUUGGGCCCGAGUCCGACCCGAGUCCGACAGCCUUUAAACUAUUUUGUCCGAAAACGACCUGAGCCCGACGGAGUCGAUGCCUCAACUGUUCAUAAUAAUGACACAUUCACAAACGUUUUUUUUUUAUAAAUAGCUUGCCUUUAUUAAACUCCGGCAUCAACAGAUAAAUAUACUCGCUCAAACAAACAAGCGCUGUUUGGGAACCGAGGUUCUACAUCAUGGGAAGCAGAUGUUGACUUCACUACUUAUUAAGAUAUUUUAAAUAUGGAAUGUUCAAUGUCUUAUCGCGCUGAUGUGUCCGAGCCAGACUAUAUUUUCUAAAUAUUUAUCCGGACCCGGCCCAACCCAUCGGGUCCCGACGGGUACCGACGGGCUCGGGUCGGGUAUCCACCUCUAGUCCCCAGCACACAUGUGCAAUUAAAGAUGCAUCUUGUGCUUAAAAUGUGAGUCCGGAUUGAUUUCUCAGAACUAAUAACAACCAGGCUGUGUUACUAGUAACUACUCCAGCAUUGUAGUGCCCAUUAGGAAUGCCUGGCCGCUCUGUGCGAGCUUAUCCCUUGGCCACCAGAGGUGCUGCCUGCAGUGUUGUCGAGAAGCGCUAAUCGCUUGUUGACUCCAGGGAAGUUAAGAAGAAAUUGUAGUAAUUAAGUCAAGAGGAAAAAGGGAAUUCCCAGGCAGGUGCUCUGUUUUGGCCAACCUAAGGGAGACCGGAUGACCAAUUUAACAUCAAUAGUAUCCUAAAAUAUAUUUUAUAUAUUUGAGGCAAGAAAUAGGUUGUCGUUUGACAAUUUGUGUGUUGUGAGACAUGGUGAGUGUUUCUUCUGGCCGGUGUGAUGUGCUUGGUUUUGAGUCGACCGAGUUAAACAUGCCAGCCGGGUUACAAACUUUCAGCAGUGCGUAUUUUAAAUGUAUAAUAUUUUGCAUUUAUAAUUUUACUUUAUUACAGGGACUGUUAAGUGUAGUUUAGCGCUGUAAUUUAUAACUGGUGAAGAACGAACCCAGAUGCAAUAUGGCAGACAGCAGUUGUAGUUCCCAACAGAGUAUUUUAUUUUCCUCAAUGCAACCAAACAGUCACCAGGAAAAGACGUGGUCGGGGACAGAAGACUGGGGGAAUUACCAGGGCAGGCGCAAGAAGGGGUAGUCCAAGACAGGCAGGGCCAACACCGCUGGGAACUAUGUCCAAGAGAAAAUGCAGGAAGGUCUGGCAUAAGUGCAGAGAACGAUCUGGCAGCGAGUGAGUGAGUGGGGUUUAGAUACUGAAGGGAGUGAGUAGAGUAGACAGGUGAGUGUGACAGGUCUACAGAAUAAACUGAUUAGGCGAGUAAGGGGGUAAAUGACCGGGUAGGAGCCAACAGUUGGUGCGGUUCUUAUCAGUCAACCUAUUUCUGGCUGCACUGUAAAGUUUGAAUGAAAUGCAGGGCCCCAUGAAGGAUGGACUAGAAACAAGUGUGUGUAUGAGGUUAACUUGAGAUCACUUAAAGCUAGAUACAGACAGGACCCCAUAAAGAACAGGGUAGAAAUAAAUGUGGGUAAAUAAUAAAUGUCAUUAAUAAACGACACGACGGACUGGCAAAUCCCCUCCAGCUCUGUGGCUGUCUCAACGGGUGCGUGCCAUGAGAGCCACCAUGCGAGCAUCAGAAAGGAGAUGGCGUAAAUAUAAAUAACCUGAUGACCUGCUUGAAUUUCAAUCUCUUCUCUCCUCUUUUUCUGCUUCUAUCUCUGCUGCCAAAAGCUCUUUCUACCAAUCCAGAAUUGAAUCUUCAUUUUCUAACGCCAAAAAACUCUUUUCGAUCUUCUCCAACCUCCUCGAACCCCCUAGUCCUCCUCCCCCUCCACCCUUCUUUCAGGAGACUUUGUCAACUACUUUACCAACAAAAUAGCUGACAUAUGCUCCUCUUUCUCAAACCCACCUCCUACUACUUGCAUCCCACUGACUUCACCUCUAUUGCCCUCGCUUUCCUCUUUCACCCCCGUCUCCUAACCAAAUUCUUACCCUAGUAACGUCUGCCCGUCCAACUACCUGCCCUCUUGAUUCCAUCGCAUCUUCUACAAUCUAUCGCUCCUGCCCUUCUUCCGUUCCUCACCUGUCUCAUCAACAAUACUCUAUUAUCUGGCUGUUUUCCCAAUUCUCUGAAGGAGGUAAGAGUUAACCCUCUCCUGAAGAAAACAACUACAGACCAGUCUCUCUUCUUCCCUUUUUGUCCAAAACUCUUGAACGUGCAAUCUUUAAACAACCUCCUUGACCCCAAGCAGUCAGGCUUCAAGGCAGGUCAUUCCAGAGACUGCUCUGCUUGCUGUCUCAGAGCAACUCCACACUGCUAGAGCCGCCUCUCUGUCCACUGUCCUCAUUCUUUUUCUACGUAACAUAUCAAAAAUAAGGAACUUCCUGUCUCAAAGUGAUGCAGAAAAAUUAGUUUGUGCGUUUGUCACUUCCAGACUGGACUACUGUAAUUCUUUGUUAUCGGGCUCCUCUUGUAAAUCUCUUAAGCCUCUCCAGUUGAUUCAGAAUGCUGCAGCACGUGUAUUAACAAGAACUAGGAAAAGGGAUCAUAUCACUCCUGUAUUAACUUCUCUGCACUGUCUCCCUGUUAAAUCAAGAAUAGAUUUUUAGGUACUUCUCCUCACCUGAUCGUAUCUUAAAGAGCUUGUAACACCUGCGCUCCAUAGAUGCUGGGUUACUUGUUGUACCUAUGGUUUUAAAAAGUAGGCUGGGGGCCAGAGCCUUCAGUUAUUAAGCUCCUCUUUUGUGGAACCAGGUUCCACUUUCAGUCCGGGGGACAGAUUUGGUCAGCUUUUUUAAAGUAAAACUUAAAACUUUCCUCUUUGAUUCUGCCUAUAGUUAGGGCUGGCUCAGGUUAGCCCGGACCAGCCCUUAGUUAAGCUGCUAUAUUCUUAGACUGCCGGGAGACUUCUUAGGACAUACCAAGCUCCUCUCUCACGCUCUCGUUCUACCAUAAUUCACGUUUUAUUAAUGCACAUGACUAAUUCAGCUUCUUUCCGGGAGUUUUUUUUGUGUGCUUUCUCCCCUAGCAGGUCUCUGUAGAUCGUAGUUCCUUCUGGACCCCGGUCCUGACACCUGCCGUGGUCCUGCUGACGCCUACUGCGGCCAUCAUCAUUAUUAUUUUAGAUAUUAAUCAUAUUUCUGUACUCGUAAACCAAUAUUACCCUCUCCUAAAGUCUCUGUGCUCUCCCUCCCCACAGGCUUCUGUAGAUGGUGGUUCUAUCUGAUGGUGAUUGCCCCUGCAGUGGUCCUGCUGUGCGCCUGGCUUACUACUCACAAUUACUUGAAUUAUUUCUGUCAUAGGAAUUGCAUGUAUUAUACAUUGUUCAUUCUGUGCACAUGGCAUCCAUUGUAGUCUGUCCAUCCCGGGAGUGGGAUCCCUCCUCUGACAUCCUCCCUAAGGUUUCUUCCCUUUUUUUCCCUCUUGGAAGGGUUUUUUAAUUUUUUGGGGAGUUUUUCCUGUGCCGAUGGUGGGUUUCGGGACAGACGAUGUUGUAUGUGUACAGACUGUAGCCCUCUGAGGCAAAUUUGUAAUUAGCGAUUUUGGGCUAUACAAAAUAAAAUGAAUUGAAUUGAAUUCUUCUAGACCUCUCCGCUGCAUUUGACACAGUCAACCACCAGAUCCUUAUUUCCUCCCUUCAGGAACUUGGUGUCACAGGCUCUGCUCUCUCCCUUCUCUCGUCCUACCUCGACACCGGCACCUACCGGGUAAUCUGGCGAGGAUCUGUGUCGAGGAUGAGUUCCUCAGGGUUCUGUCCUGGGUCCCCUCCUCUUCUUGCUCUACACCAACUCUCUCUCGGCGCUCUCAUUUGCUCGCAUGGCUUCUCCUACCCCAGCUAUGCCGAUGACACCCAACUAAUUCUCUCCUUCCCUCACUCGGACACCCAGGUGGCGGCACGGAUCUCUGCCUGUCUGUCUGACAUCUCUCAGUGGAUGUCCGAUUCAGCAUGAAGAAAUUACUGUAGUGAUCAUGUUUACAAAUCAAAAUUUUCAUCAAGACUGAACUACUUCUCUUUCCGGGAAAAGAUUCUCCGACCCAGGACAUGACGGUCAACUUUUGCAACUCUGUGCUAACGCCCACUUUGACUGCUAGGAACCUCGGCGUCACACUCGACAGCCAACUUUCCCUGACUCCCAACAUCACUGUGACAACACGAUCCUGUUGAUACACGCUCUACAACAUCAGGAGAAUACGUCCCCUUCUCACUCAGAAGGCAGAGCAGGUACUGAUUCAGGCUCUUGUCAUCUCCCACCUGGACUACUGCAGCAGCUCGACUGGUCUUUCACCUUCCAAAAUUCUCCCACACUACUCCACUCCUCCGCUCUCUUCCCUGGCUACCGGUGGCCGCCCGCAUCCAGUUCAAAACAUUGCUGCUCACAUACCAUGCUGUGAAUGGUUCGGGUCGAGCUUACAUCCAGGACAUGGUCAAACCCUACAUCCCGACCCACACUCUCCGCAUCUGCAAAACUGCUUGUCCCUCCCUUACUGAGAGCAAAACACUCAACGAGAUCACGUCUCUUUGCUGUCCUUGCUCCAAAAUGGUGGAACGAGCUCUCUGAUGACACCAGGACCGCAGAGAUCCUUCUUCCGCCGCAAACUAAAGACACACGUCUUCAGACUCUACCUCGACUAAAAGACUAAUUGUAGCCCUUAAAUUGUACUUAUAACGCCACUCAUCUAUAGAAAAUUGGAAAUUGCACUUUCUUGCACUGCAUGAAAAGUGAGAUUUUCGUCCCCGUAAACGCCCGGAAAUCUCCCUACUUUCCGACAAUUUGCAACCCGCGCACGUCGCGUUUGUCUGUGCCACAAAUUGUCGGAAACGAACCAUGACGUAGGCGGAGAGCUGGCGGAGGUGCGAAUGGCCCGAAUUAGCAUAUGAAUGCAGCGAAACCGCGGGUGGCCGAGCGGGCUUGAAUAUCCUUACUCCUUAUUGGAUGAAACCACAACUUACUAACAAAUAAAAUCACUCGUGAUUGGCAGCAAAACCACACGUGGGCAGACCAGGCUUGAGUUUUCUUGUUCAUGAUUGGAUAAAAACAACUUUCAAUCACUCGUGAUUGGUUGGCAGAUCUGUCGCUAUUGGUCACCCGCCUCAUUUUAUUUAUAUAUUCAUUAUGCUGUAUAUUCAUUUCAUGGUUAUCCUAUGCGGCUACUACACUAUUAUUAGGAUACCAACCAGGACAUCAAUGAAUUUAUAGAGAAAAUGAACAUUUGCCACAUGUUUAUGCAAAGAAAGAGCUUUAUUAACAACACACAAACAAUGACUACAUACAAAGUGAGGAUCUGCCCACACUUGGGUAACGGCGGUUUAAAAACUACAGCUCAGUAAACUGUCCGUUUGCCUCCUCGGGGUUGUAGACCGUCACUGGCGCUGUGUUUUCCGAGGCAGGUCUCUUGUGCAGGCGGCUCGUGUGCCUGUGGCGACCGUACAAUCCACCCCGAGACCCCGCCAACAACGCCGUCCCCUCCGUCCGACGUGAGCUCUACGGUGGCGGAGUUCCAGAGUUCCACCUCGUCAUCAGUCAGCACACUUUGUCUCGAUUCCAGCAGCUGUAAAAACAACAAUGAAUCAGUACUGUGCGAUGCGUACGGACACAACACAUCUAUCAAUGCACCUGAAACAAGUCAGCAAAUAAACUCUGACCCUCUUUCUUCUCGCUUGACUCCGCGCUGAACUCCGCAUUGAGUGUUCCGGCUGGAAAACCUGAAGCUCCUGCGUCCCGUCUCACAAUACGUCUCACAGGCGGCUGGAAAACAAUUAAAUGAGUGUGGUAUGAAUACAAAAAAAAAAUCAAACGCAAGUCACAGUAACAUUUAACAAGGAAGGAGAAACAGUAAACAGUGUCACUUACACACAAUGACGUCGUUAAAAUCUGGACUUUUCCCGGAGGAAAUACGAGGUCACCGCCUCUUUAUGAGGCGAGAUUAGUCUGUGAAAACAAAAUGUUCAGUUAUGAUCGGUAUCCAUCCUAUGGUAACAAUACGUAUAUAUUCCCUUAUAGCGCAGAAUGAAAGCAUAUUCUUUAAAUCUGACCCUUGCUCCGGUCCGUAGCGCCUGUAAUUUGUCUCGGAGUUGAGAAGACGGCGCACCGCUUCCUGUAAACGACACGGCAAAGAAAAUAGACUUUAAUAAAGCUGUUUCUGCUCACUUGUAAGGCUACUAGGCUACGCUUAGCUUGAGGCUACGCUACUUUUAGCUUAGCUUGCAGUCAUCGAACGUAUUCUUACCGCUAUCGUGGGAUUGUGCGCCCGUCUCCUCUUCUUUGAGUCGGUUCCUCUCCUCCAUGGACAGAAACCCGCAGAGUCCCGAACGCUCCAGUGGAGCGAACCGCUCGUUGAUAUCGGCAGUUUGUUGUUGGAGUUGACGAGACGAUCCACUGAGAGCUUUCAGCAGCUUCUUCUCGUCUGUCCGCGGACUGGCCGAAAGUUGGUGACCGCGGAGAGGAGUUGAAGGCGAGUUGAACGCGAGACGUCGUCCCGCCAUUAUUCACGAACCAGCAAAAACCAAACAAAGGAACUGGAGAUACAGUUCUUCUGAAUAUAGUAACACGUGUUUGUUCGUAUGCUCGUCUUCCAAGUACUGCUGUAUCAGUCAUGCCUAUGCCCUCACACGUGAUUGGACGAGGAGUCUAAGGGUCCUCCAAUCACAUACUGUCACACCUGUAUGUCAAGUUGCGUUUUUGUCCUGUCUCCAGUUGUUUUUUGACUUCCUGUUUUAUUUUGGAAACUAACUCCCUCUCGUUUCAGGUCCCUUGCCCUUCCUCAUGUGUCACCAGUCUGAUUGUCUCCCCUGAUUCCUGAU
Molecule: long non-coding RNA, 9001 nt
Organism: Gasterosteus aculeatus aculeatus (three-spined stickleback)
Lineage: Eukaryota; Metazoa; Chordata; Actinopteri; Perciformes; Gasterosteidae
Source: Ensembl